Molecule: transfer RNA, 92 nt
Filed under: Magnolia x alba
Lineage: Eukaryota; Viridiplantae; Streptophyta; Magnoliopsida; Magnoliales; Magnoliaceae
Description: Magnolia alba tRNA-Leu
Source: RNAcentral
AUGUGUCAGGAGAAAUUGGUACAAGAAGCCGUGGAUACACUUAUUAGUAAUCCUUUUUAGAAAUCGAAUGGAUUCGGUCUUAUACAUACGCG